GUGUCCCUACGGAGGCAGCAGUAGGGAAUCUUCCACAAUGGGCGAAAGCCUGAUGGAGCAACGCCGCGUGGGUGAAGAAGGUCUUCGGAUCGUAAAACCCUGUUGUUAGAGAAGAAAGUGCGUGAAAGUAACUGUUCACAUUUCGACGGUAUCUAACCAGAAAGCCACGGCUAACUACGUGCCAGCAGCCGCGGUAAUACGUAGGUGGCAAGCGUUAUCCGGAUUUAUUGGGCGUAAAGGGAACGCAGGCGGUCUUUUAAGUCUGAUGUGAAAGCCUUCGGCUUAACCGGAGUAGUGCAUUGGAA
This 305-nucleotide ribosomal RNA is filed under the name uncultured bacterium. RNAcentral's name for it is "bacterial SSU rRNA". It matches the Rfam family "Bacterial small subunit ribosomal RNA", at positions 333 to 631 of the family's 1533-position model. The record is from RNAcentral.